RNAcentral lists this ribosomal RNA (2923 nucleotides) under Klebsiella pneumoniae. RNAcentral describes it as "bacterial LSU rRNA". It matches the Rfam family "Bacterial large subunit ribosomal RNA". The record is from RNAcentral. Lineage: Bacteria; Pseudomonadati; Pseudomonadota; Gammaproteobacteria; Enterobacterales; Enterobacteriaceae.
GGGUUGUGAGGUUAAGCGACUAAGCGUACACGGUGGAUGCCCUGGCAGUCAGAGGCGAUGAAGGACGUGCUAAUCUGCGAAAAGCGUCGGUAAGGUGAUAUGAACCGUUAUAACCGGCGAUGUCCGAAUGGGGAAACCCAGUGCAAUUCGUUGCACUAUCGUUAACUGAAUACAUAGGUUAACGAGGCGAACCGGGGGAACUGAAACAUCUAAGUACCCCGAGGAAAAGAAAUCAACCGAGAUUCCCCCAGUAGCGGCGAGCGAACGGGGAGCAGCCCAGAGUCUGAAUCAGCUUGUGUGUUAGUGGAACGGUCUGGAAAGUCCGACGGUACAGGGUGAUAGUCCCGUACACCAAAAUGCACAGGUUGUGAACUCGAAGAGUAGGGCGGGACACGUGGUAUCCUGUCUGAAUAUGGGGGGACCAUCCUCCAAGGCUAAAUACUCCUGACUGACCGAUAGUGAACCAGUACCGUGAGGGAAAGGCGAAAAGAACCCCGGCGAGGGGAGUGAAAAAGAACCUGAAACCGUGUACGUACAAGCAGUGGGAGCACCUUCGGGUGUGACUGCGUACCUUUUGUAUAAUGGGUCAGCGACUUAUAUUCUGUAGCAAGGUUAACCGUAUAGGGGAGCCGCAGGGAAACCGAGUCUUAACUGGGCGUUAAGUUGCAGGGUAUAGACCCGAAACCCGGUGAUCUAGCCAUGGGCAGGUUGAAGGUUGGGUAACACUAACUGGAGGACCGAACCGACUAAUGUUGAAAAAUUAGCGGAUGACUUGUGGCUGGGGGUGAAAGGCCAAUCAAACCGGGAGAUAGCUGGUUCUCCCCGAAAGCUAUUUAGGUAGCGCCUCGUGAACUCAUCUUCGGGGGUAGAGCACUGUUUCGGCUAGGGGGUCAUCCCGACUUACCAACCCGAUGCAAACUACGAAUACCGAAGAAUGUUAUCACGGGAGACACACGGCGGGUGCUAACGUCCGUCGUGAAGAGGGAAACAACCCAGACCGCCAGCUAAGGUCCCAAAGUCAUGGUUAAGUGGGAAACGAUGUGGGAAGGCACAGACAGCCAGGAUGUUGGCUUAGAAGCAGCCAUCAUUUAAAGAAAGCGUAAUAGCUCACUGGUCGAGUCGGCCUGCGCGGAAGAUGUAACGGGGCUAAACCAUGCACCGAAGCUGCGGCAGCGACACUAUGUGUUGUUGGGUAGGGGAGCGUUCUGUAAGCCUGCGAAGGUGUGCUGUGAGGCAUGCUGGAGGUAUCAGAAGUGCGAAUGCUGACAUAAGUAACGAUAAAGCGGGUGAAAAGCCCGCUCGCCGGAAGACCAAGGGUUCCUGUCCAACGUUAAUCGGGGCAGGGUGAGUCGACCCCUAAGGCGAGGCCGAAAGGCGUAGUCGAUGGGAAACAGGUUAAUAUUCCUGUACUUGGUGUUACUGCGAAGGGGGGACGGAGAAGGCUAUGUUAGCCGGGCGACGGUUGUCCCGGUUUAAGCAUGUAGGCUGAUUGUCCAGGCAAAUCCGGAUAAUCAAGGCUGAGGUGUGAUGACGAGGCACUACGGUGCUGAAGUAACAAAUGCCCUGCUUCCAGGAAAAGCCUCUAAGCAUCAGGUAACAUUAAAUCGUACCCCAAACCGACACAGGUGGUCAGGUAGAGAAUACCAAGGCGCUUGAGAGAACUCGGGUGAAGGAACUAGGCAAAAUGGUGCCGUAACUUCGGGAGAAGGCACGCUGGUGUGUAGGUGAAGUCCCUGCGGAUGGAGCUGAGACCAGUCGAAGAUACCAGCUGGCUGCAACUGUUUAUUAAAAACACAGCACUGUGCAAACACGAAAGUGGACGUAUACGGUGUGACGCCUGCCCGGUGCCGGAAGGUUAAUUGAUGGGGUUAUCCGUAAGGAGAAGCUCUUGAUCGAAGCCCCGGUAAACGGCGGCCGUAACUAUAACGGUCCUAAGGUAGCGAAAUUCCUUGUCGGGUAAGUUCCGACCUGCACGAAUGGCGUAAUGAUGGCCAGGCUGUCUCCACCCGAGACUCAGUGAAAUUGAACUCGCUGUGAAGAUGCAGUGUACCCGCGGCAAGACGGAAAGACCCCGUGAACCUUUACUAUAGCUUGACACUGAACAUUGAGCCUUGAUGUGUAGGAUAGGUGGGAGGCUUUGAAGCGUGGACGCCAGUCUGCGUGGAGCCAACCUUGAAAUACCACCCUUUAAUGUUUGAUGUUCUAACGUUGGCCCCUGACCGGGGUUGCGGACAGUGUCUGGUGGGUAGUUUGACUGGGGCGGUCUCCUCCCAAAGCGUAACGGAGGAGCACGAAGGUUAGCUAAUCCUGGUCGGACAUCAGGAGGUUAGUGCAAUGGCAUAAGCUAGCUUGACUGCGAGCGUGACGGCGCGAGCAGGUGCGAAAGCAGGUCAUAGUGAUCCGGUGGUUCUGAAUGGAAGGGCCAUCGCUCAACGGAUAAAAGGUACUCCGGGGAUAACAGGCUGAUACCGCCCAAGAGUUCAUAUCGACGGCGGUGUUUGGCACCUCGAUGUCGGCUCAUCACAUCCUGGGGCUGAAGUAGGUCCCAAGGGUAUGGCUGUUCGCCAUUUAAAGUGGUACGCGAGCUGGGUUUAGAACGUCGUGAGACAGUUCGGUCCCUAUCUGCCGUGGGCGCUGGAGAAUUGAGGGGGGCUGCUCCUAGUACGAGAGGACCGGAGUGGACGCAUCACUGGUGUUCGGGUUGUCAUGCCAAUGGCACUGCCCGGUAGCUAAAUGCGGAAGAGAUAAGUGCUGAAAGCAUCUAAGCACGAAACUUGCCCCGAGAUGAGUUCUCCCUGAGACUUUAAGUCUCCUGAAGGAACGUUAAAGACGAUGACGUUGAUAGGCCGGGUGUGUAAGCGCAGCGAUGCGUUGAGCUAACCGGUACUAAUGAACCGUGAGGCUUAACCUUACAACGCCGAAG